Molecule: unclassified non-coding RNA, 200 nt
Filed under: soil metagenome
Description: partial contains internal transcribed spacer 2 and large subunit ribosomal RNA
Source: RNAcentral
GUUCGAGCGUCAUUACACCCCUCAAGCCUAGCUUGGUAUUGGGCUCCGCUACUCACGUAGCGGGCCUUAAAAUUAGUGGCGGUGCGUCGGGGCCCUGAGCGCAGUAAAUAUCCUCGCUAUAGGGACCCGGUGGACGCUAGCCAUCAACCUCACUUUUCAAGUUUGACCUCGGAUCAGGUAGGGAUACCCGCUGAACUUAA